RNAcentral lists this ribosomal RNA (292 nucleotides) under uncultured bacterium. RNAcentral describes it as "partial 16S ribosomal RNA". It matches the Rfam family "Bacterial small subunit ribosomal RNA", at positions 505 to 796 of the family's 1533-position model. The record is from RNAcentral.
GUGUCAGCAGCCGCGGUAAGACGAACCAUGCAAACGUUAUUCGGAAUCACUGGGCUUAAAGCGUGCGUAGGCGGCUCAGAAAGUUGGGUGUGAAAUCCCUCGGCCUAACCGAGGAAUUGCGCCCAAAACUACUGAGCUCGAGGGAGUUAGAGGUGAGCGGAACUCACGGUGGAGCGGUGAAAUGCGUUGAUAUCGUGAGGAACACCGGAGGCGAAAGCGGCUCACUGGGGCUUCACUGACGCUGAGGCACGAAAGCUAGGGGAGCAAACGGGAUUAGAAACCCUUGUAGUCC